AGUGAACGCUGGCGGCAUGCCUAACACAUGCAAGUCGAACGGUAACGGGCCCGCAAGGGUGCCGACGAGUGGCGGACGGGUGAGGAAUACAUCGGAAUCUGCCCGGUCGUGGGGGAUAACGUAGGGAAACUUACGCUAAUACCGCAUGAGACCGAGAGGUGAAAGCGGGGGAUCGCAAGACCUCGCGCGAUUGGAGCGGCCGAUGUCAGAUUAGGUAGUUGGUGGGGUAAAGGCUCACCAAGCCGACGAUCUGUAGCUGGUCUGAGAGGACGACCAGCCACACUGGGACGGAGACACGGCCCAGACUCCUACGGGAGGCAGCAGUGGGGAAUUUUGGACAAUGGGCGCAAGCCUGUUCCAGCCAUUCCGCGUGCAGGAUGAAGGCCUUCGGGUUGUAAACUGCUUUUGUACGGAACGAAAAGGCUCUGGUUAAUACCUGGGGCUCAUGACGGUACCGUAAGAAUAAGCACCGGCUAACUACGUGCCAGCAGCCGCGGUAA
Molecule: ribosomal RNA, 500 nt
Filed under: uncultured bacterium
Lineage: Bacteria
Description: partial 16S ribosomal RNA
Rfam family: Bacterial small subunit ribosomal RNA
Source: RNAcentral